AAAAAGUCAAACCAUGGGUUUCCGUAUCCAACUUUAACUGUCCGUCUUAUAUGAAUUUUUUUUUAUAAUUCGUAUUUUUAUUGUUGUUAGAUGAUAAAACAUGAUUAAUAUUUUAUGCGUGAUUUGUCUUUUUAAUUUUUUUUCAUAAUUUUUUAAAUAAGACGGACGGUUAAAUAUUGAACACGGAAACUAGGG
Molecule: microRNA precursor, 195 nt
Filed under: Oryza rufipogon (brownbeard rice)
Lineage: Eukaryota; Viridiplantae; Streptophyta; Magnoliopsida; Poales; Poaceae
Description: MIR812 microRNA precursor family
Rfam family: MIR812 microRNA precursor family
Source: Rfam by way of RNAcentral